AUUGAACGCUGGCGGCAGGCUUAACACAUGCAAGUCGAGCGGAGCGAGGGUGCUUGCACCUUAGCUUAGCGGCGGACGGGUGAGUAAUGCUUAGGAAUCUGCCUAUUAGUGGGGGACAACAUUCCGAAAGGGAUGCUAAUACCGCAUACGCCCUACGGGGGAAAGCAGGGGAUCUUCGGACCUUGCGCUAAUAGAUGAGCCUAAGUCGGAUUAGCUAGUUGGUGGGGUAAAGGCCUACCAAGGCGACGAUCUGUAGCGGGUCUGAGAGGAUGGACCGCCACACUGGGACUGAGACACGGCGCAGACUCCUACGGGAGGCAGCAGUGGGGAAUAUUGGACACUGGGGGGAACCCUGAUCCAGCCAUGCCGCGUGUGUGAAGAAGGCCUUAUGGUUGUAAAGCACUUUAAGCGAGGAGGAGGUUACUGAGACUAAUACUCUUGGAUAGUGGACGUUACUCGCAGAAUAAGCACCGGCUAACUCUGUGCCAGCCGCCGCCGUAA
RNAcentral lists this ribosomal RNA (501 nucleotides) under uncultured bacterium. RNAcentral describes it as "partial 16S ribosomal RNA". It matches the Rfam family "Bacterial small subunit ribosomal RNA", at positions 30 to 523 of the family's 1533-position model. The record is from RNAcentral.